CACUGGGUUAGGGAAAAAGAAAUCUGGUAUUUGGAUAUGCAUGACCUCAUUGCAGCUUAAUAUUUCUUGAGAGGUAUUAUUAUUAUUACCACCAGAGAUGAGAAAACUGAGGUUAAAGAACUUUCAUAAGAUUCUACAAUAACUGAGCAGGGAUGAAACUCAAGUCUUCUGAUGAAAAUCAAGUUCUGUCUUCUAGAUGAGUGUACAGAAGGCCUUUUUUUCCACACUGAAGUUCAAGGCUUUUUUGACUGUUCACCCCUUUGCUUCCUGCCAGAAUGCCCCAGCCCUGCUUGGUCCAUCGUGAUGCCUACCUGUGGUUUUUGGAGCCAGGGCUGCUGGACCAAAGGGAGGAAGUCUGUCAGGCAUAUGUGGAACCCAAAAGAGGAACUUCGUCAACUGUCAUGGACAGCUCUGCCACUUUGUGACCCUGUGGGUUUUUUGGGAAGUGUUUUUGUGUAUCACCAGUCUCUCAUGAGGUACCUUCCUUACAACUCCCUACCUCCCUCAGCAAAACACAAGGCCUGUGAAUGAGGGAUGCAAAAUGGACACAGAGGAGGAAGGAGGCACCUGAAGGCACCUUCUAGAAGCACAGAAUCUCACUGAAGCCUGUACACAUGCUCGUGAGCAUCAGGCUAUUGGGUAGGGGUGGAGUGGGGGUGCUCUAUAUCCAGGUGACCAUGGAGGGAAUUAUAGGUCAUAAAGGUGAUCUUUAUUUCUGAUCUGUUUUCAAU
Molecule: long non-coding RNA, 731 nt
Filed under: Microcebus murinus (gray mouse lemur)
Lineage: Eukaryota; Metazoa; Chordata; Mammalia; Primates; Cheirogaleidae
Description: lncRNA (ENSMICG00000048366.1)
Source: RNAcentral